Molecule: ribosomal RNA, 404 nt
Filed under: Fusobacteriota bacterium
Lineage: Bacteria; Fusobacteriati; Fusobacteriota
Description: Fusobacteria bacterium partial 16S ribosomal RNA
Rfam family: Bacterial small subunit ribosomal RNA
Source: RNAcentral
UGGGGAAUAUUGCACAAUGGAGGGAACUCUGAUGCAGCGACGCCGCGUGAGUGAUGAAGGAAUUCGUUUCGUAAAACUCUGUUCUAUGGGAAGAAAAGGACUGUACCAUAGGAGAAAGCUCCGGCUAAAUACGUGCCAGCAGCCGCGGUAAUACGUAUGAAGCGAGCGUUGUCCGGAAUUAUUGGGCGUAAAGGGUGCGCAGGCGGCUUUACAAGUUGGAUGUGAAAUAUUGUGGCUCAACCACAAACGUGCAUCCAAAACUGCAAAGCUUGAGUUAAGGAGAGGUAAGUGGAAUUCCUGGUGUAGCGGUGGAAUGCGUAGAUAUCAGGAGGAAUACCGGUGGCGAAGGCGACUUACUGGACUUAAACUGACGCUCAGGCACGAAAGCGUGGGGAGCAAACAGG